Molecule: non-coding RNA, 150 nt
Organism: Caenorhabditis elegans
Lineage: Eukaryota; Metazoa; Nematoda; Chromadorea; Rhabditida; Rhabditidae
Source: Ensembl
CUUUUUUUGAGAAUAAAGUCACGCCGUACCUUGAAAACGAUACAUUCCGGCUGGGGUCGAAGUUACGCAACUUGGCGUUUGAGAUAGCGGGAAAGACGAAAGAAAAAUGACGGAAGGGCAGUAGAUUAGAUGUAAACAAAAAAGAUUGCG